RNAcentral lists this ribosomal RNA (774 nucleotides) under uncultured bacterium. RNAcentral describes it as "bacterial SSU rRNA". It matches the Rfam family "Bacterial small subunit ribosomal RNA", at positions 8 to 796 of the family's 1533-position model. The record is from RNAcentral.
AGAGUUUGAUCAUGGCUCAGGACGAACGCUGGCGGCGUGCUUAACACAUGCAAGUCGAGCGAGGCCCUCCUUCGGGGGGUGCCCUAGCGGCGAACGGGUGAGUAACACGUGGGCAACCUGCCCUCAGCUCUGGGAUAACUCCAAGAAAUUGGUGCUAAUACCGGAUGUGACCGCUGACCGCAUGGUCUGGUGGUGGAAAGAUUCAUCGGCUGGGGAUGGGCCCGCGGCCUAUCAGCUUGUUGGUGGGGUCACGGCCCACCAAGGCGACGACGGGUAGCCGGCCUGAGAGGGUGACCGGCCACACUGGGACUGAGACACGGCCCAGACUCCUACGGGAGGCAGCAGUGGGGAAUAUUGCGCAAUGGGCGGAAGCCUGACGCAGCGACGCCGCGUGAGGGAUGACGGCCUUCGGGUUGUAAACCUCUUUCAGUAGGGACGAAGCGGAAGUGACGGUACCUACAGAAGAAGCACCGGCCAACUACGUGCCAGCAGCCGCGGUAAUACGUAGGGUGCAAGCGUUGUCCGGAAUUAUUGGGCGUAAAGAGCUCGUAGGCGGUCUGUCGCGUCGGCUGUGAAAACCCGAGGCUCAACCUCGGGCCUGCAGUCGAUACGGGCAAACUGGAGUACUGCAGGGGAGACUGGAAUUCCUGGUGUAGCGGUGAAAUGCGCAGAUAUCAGGAGGAACACCGGUGGCGAAGGCGGGUCUCUGGGCAGUAACUGACGCUGAGGAGCGAAAGCGUGGGGAGCGAACAGGAUUAGAUACCCUAGUAGUCC